GAGGCGUCGACCGGCGCACGGGUGAGUAACGCGUAUCCAACCUGCCCACCACUUGGGGAUAACCUUGCGAAAGUAAGACUAAUACCCAAUGACGUCUCUAGAAGACAUCUGAAAGAGAUUAAAGAUUUAUCGGUGAUGGAUGGGGAUGCGUCUGAUUAGCUUGUUGGCGGGGUAACGGCCCACCAAGGCGACGAUCAGUAGGGGUUCUGAGAGGAAGGUCCCCCACAUUGGAACUGAGACACGGUCCAAACUCCUACGGGAGGCAGCAGUGAGGAAUAUUGGUCAAUGGACGAGAGUCUGAACCAGCCAAGUAGCGUGCAGGAUGACGGCCCUAUGGGUUGUAAACUGCUUUUAUAAGGGAAUAAAGUGAGCCUCGUGAGGCUUUUUGCAUGUACCUUAUGAAUAAGGACCGGCUAAUUCCGUGCCAGCAGCCGCGGUAAUACGGAAGGUCCGGGCGUUAUCCGGAUUUAUUGGGUUUAAAGGGAGCGUAGGCCGGAGAUUAAGCGUGUUGUGAAAUGUAGACGCUCAACGUCUGCACUGCAGCGCGAACUGGUUUCCUUGAGUACGCACAAAGUGGGCGGAAUUCGUGGUGUAGCGGUGAAAUGCUUAGAUAUCACGAAGAACUCCGAUUGCGAAGGCAGCUCACUGGAGCGCAACUGACGCUGAAGCUCGAAAGUGCGGGUAUCGAACAGGAUUAGAUACCCUGGUAGUCCGCACGGUAAACGAUGGAUGCCCGCUGUUGGUCUGAAUAGGUCUG
Molecule: ribosomal RNA, 757 nt
Filed under: uncultured bacterium
Lineage: Bacteria
Description: bacterial SSU rRNA
Rfam family: Bacterial small subunit ribosomal RNA
Source: RNAcentral